Long non-coding RNA from Hippocampus comes (tiger tail seahorse), 138 nucleotides. RefSeq lists it as uncharacterized. The transcript has 2 exons. The record is from RefSeq and is a predicted model, not a curated record. Lineage: Eukaryota; Metazoa; Chordata; Actinopteri; Syngnathiformes; Syngnathidae.
CCAGCUUGCCGAGGACGUGGACGAGACGCAGCACGGCGACAUACGGCGACAAAGUCAAGUGUCAAGAAGACGCUUUGAGCUGCCCCCCGUGGAUCAAGCAGUUAUAGGUGACUGGCCAUGGAUGACACAAUAACAGUU